This 253-nucleotide ribosomal RNA is filed under the name uncultured bacterium. RNAcentral's name for it is "partial 16S ribosomal RNA". It matches the Rfam family "Bacterial small subunit ribosomal RNA", at positions 524 to 776 of the family's 1533-position model. The record is from RNAcentral.
UACGUAGGGUGCGAGCGUUGUCCGGAAUUAUUGGGCGUAAAGAGCUCGUAGGCGGUUUGUUGCGUCGGCUGUGAAAACCUGCGGCUUAACUGUGGGCUUGCAGUCGAUACGGGCAGACUUGAGUUCGGCAGGGGAGACUGGAAUUCCUGGUGUAGCGGUGAAAUGCGCAGAUAUCGGGAGGAACACCAAUUGCGAAGGCAGCUUGCUGGGACGAUACUGACGCUGAGGUGCGAAAGCGUGGGGAGCAAACAGG